GCGAGGGUAGCCAAGCGGUUAAGGCGAGCGGCUGCAACCCGCUUAUGCGCCGGUUCGAAUCCGGCCCCUCGCU
This 73-nucleotide transfer RNA is filed under the name Candidatus Woesearchaeota archaeon. RNAcentral describes it as "tRNA-Cys". It matches the Rfam family "tRNA". From Rfam's summary of the family: Transfer RNA (tRNA) molecules are approximately 80 nucleotides in length. Their secondary structure includes four short double-helical elements and three loops (D, anti-codon, and T loops). The record is from RNAcentral. Lineage: Archaea; Nanobdellati; Candidatus Woesearchaeota.